This 1528-nucleotide long non-coding RNA is filed under the name Mustela putorius furo (domestic ferret). Its description in RNAcentral is "lncRNA (ENSMPUG00000030255.1)". The record is from RNAcentral. Lineage: Eukaryota; Metazoa; Chordata; Mammalia; Carnivora; Mustelidae.
UCUCAAAGUACUUUGGACUUAGUUCGCUCUUUUUUUUUUUUUUUUUUUUAAUUUCCUCGAGGUACAGAGUGAGGUGGUUUUACACCCAACGUGGGGCUCGAGCUUAAAACCCAAGACCAAGCGCUGUAUGCCCCGCCGACUGAGCCACCAGCCGCGACAUCUUUCCUUUUUCUCAAGGGGUGUUCACGACUGUGUUGUUGAGUCUGCCGGCCUGUGCGAAUUUUCCUGCUGUUACACGUUUCACGACAUGGUGGUCAGAAAAGCUACUCGGUAUGAGGUCAGUCCUUGUAAAUCUGUUAAGACGUGUUCGGGCACCCAACCUGUGAUGCUUCCUGGUGAGUACUGUGUGUGCGGGGAGGCCGGUGGACCCCGCCGCUGGUGGGCAGGUGUUCCCGCGUCUGUAGGGCGAGGCGCUCCGCUGUGCGUUUUGGGGCAAUGCUUCCUUACUGAUUCUCUGUCUCCUGAUUGUCCGGUGUUGAAAGUGGGGCUGUGGCUCCUACUUUAAAUAAGUAGAAAAGGGCUCUUCUAUCUUUGUUUAACUUGAUGCAGCAAGUGGAGAGAGAAAAUGUUAGUAAGAUGAACCGUGGUUCAUUUCAAGUCACAUGAAAUGUGUGUGAGUGUUGGGCUGUAGAGAGGCUGUUGUUCCCAUUUAGUGUGGGUGUUCUACCCUUGUAUCCCUGGAAUGGCAGGUAACCCACAGAAGGAAACAGCGCCUACCAUAAAAAUAACUCCUCCCACCGCUUAAUGGGAACUUGUGAUCAAUAACUGACAUGAAAUCUACCUUGUGAGUCCACAGGAGGCUUACCAGUGGUGUUCCAUAUUAAUGCAAACCUUCCUUUCAAUGAGCAAACAGGUGCACAGAGCUGACGCUCCUCAGGUGGGACAGAGCUCCUAAGUGGGUGAUUGUAACACAGUAGGAGCUUUCAGGAUGCGAACUACAGAAUCCUUGUGUGCUCAGGGAUGAAGCCUCUGACCCAAGGUUCCACUGUCCUUUCCAUAUCACGGACUGGGGAACAGGUUCUCGGAGCUCCAGGGUGUGUCCUAAUGUCCCAGCACCAUUAGUUAUCACUGAGAACCGAGGAAUAAGAAACAAGACCCAUACUGGGUGAAUCCAGUUGAUGGUCACAAGCUACUCACUACGUGCUUCCUGUCUUGUGCACACAACAGUCCCCUAACACGGACCCAGUUUUCCCCAAAAGCAAGAAAGUUAGUAACUCAGAGACGUUUUUCUCGGUAUCAUUUACUUUUCCUUUCUGACAGUGGCUUUUCAAUCCUACAGUAACGAUUAGGAUUAUUGCCUUUGGAAGACUUUGUGUCUCUUAUCAGAACAAGUCUGUCUUUCUCUUGGAUGUCACAGAACCUUCAUUUUCACUCAUAAGUGCUCAGACCAGACUUUAACGCAUCCCCCAAAUGGGCUGUGGUCAGUUUUGAGCUCAGAAACCCAGUUUAGUUGGUUCUGGAUUUUAUAAAUGAGAAUCAAAGAGACAAAAUGUAGGAACUCAAAAUCUCAAAGAGAUGUAAAGCAAUC